Molecule: small nuclear RNA, 105 nt
Filed under: Phytophthora infestans T30-4
Lineage: Eukaryota; Oomycota; Peronosporomycetes; Peronosporales; Peronosporaceae
Source: RNAcentral
AACGACUUCGUUGGUCAUCCGUAAAAAUUGGAACGAUACAGAGAAGAUUAGCAUGGCCCCUGCGCAAGGAUGACACGCAUAAAUCGAGAAGUAUCGCACUUUUUG